RNAcentral lists this ribosomal RNA (301 nucleotides) under uncultured bacterium. RNAcentral's name for it is "partial 16S ribosomal RNA". It matches the Rfam family "Bacterial small subunit ribosomal RNA", at positions 509 to 808 of the family's 1533-position model. The record is from RNAcentral.
CAGCAGCCGCGGUAACACGGGGGGGGCAAGUGUUAUUCGGAAUGACUGGGCGUAAAGGGCACGUAGGCGGUGAAAAGGGUGGAAAGUGAAAGUCGCCAAAACACUGGCGGGGUGCUUUCUUGACCAUUUCACUUGAGUGAGAUAGGGGAGAGUGGAAUUUCGUGUGGAGGGAUCAAAUCCUAAGAUAUACGAAGGAACGCCAACCGCGAAGGCAGCUCUCUGGGUCCCCACUGACGCUGGGGUGCGAAAGCAUGGGGAGCAAACAGGAUCAGAUACCCCCGUAGUCCCUGUCUCUUAUACA